CCCCUGUGAACAGGCAUGUUGUAUUAUAUAACAUAUCUUGAGCAUUCUUGACAGACUCCUGGCUGUCAAUUUCUCAGUGGCAACUAUUUACUGGUUGAAAAUGGGAAGCAAUAAUAUUCAUCUGACCAGUUUUCUCUUAAAGCCAUUUCCAUGAUGAUGAUGGGACUCAAUUGUAUUUUUUAUUUCAGUCACUCCUGAUAAAUAACAAAUUUGGAGAAAUAAAAAUAUCUAAAAUAAAAAAUAAAAAUAAAAAAAAUAAAAAAACUACACUGGCUCAAACCCAUGGGCCACCCCCUCAUACAUUCUAAGUAUGUCACAGCGAGGAAGACUAGUAUGAUAAAAUAGCACAGGUUUUGGAGUUAGGCAUCGGGAUUUGAACCCUGGCUCAAUUGACUCAGCAGCUAAUUGGCUUUGGGAAAGUUAUUCCACCUCUCUGGUGCUUCCUGUCUUCCUCUAUAAAGUGGGAAUAGUAUUCAAACUUCCCUCAUAAGGUAGUUGAAAAAUAUACAUACAAUCACCUGGCACCAGAGGUACUGAACAAAUUUGAAGUCACUUUUAUCAGUUUUGGGUUUUUUUUUUUUCUUUUGUGUGUGUGUGUGUGUGAGAGAGAGAGAGACAGACAGACAGACAGAGAGAGAGAAAUGGAGUCUCGCUCUGUCACCAGGCUGAAGUAUAGUGGCACAAUCUUGGCUCACUGCAACCUCCACCUCCUGGGCUCAAGCAGUUUUCCUGCCUCAGCCUCUCGAGUAGUUGGGACUAUAGUUGCGUGCCACCACACCCAGCUAAUUUUUUUUUUUGUAUUUUUUAGUAGAGACGGGGUUUCACCGGGUUAGCCAGGAUGGUCUCGAUCUCCUGACCUCCUGAUCCGCCCGUCUCGGCCUCCCAAAGUGCUGGGAUUACAGGCUUGAGCCACCGCGCCCGGCCUCAAAUCUUUUUCUUUUUGAAAGUGAAAAUAAGUUUCUACUUUUUUAUAAUUCAUGCAUGAAUCCUAUUAAUCCUUCACAAAGGCAAUUUUACCCCCUCAAAAAUUCCAGAGACAGGGCCAGGCACAGUGGCUCACAUCUGUAAUCCUUUGGGAGGCCGAGGCAGGUGGAUCACCUGAGUAACAGAAAUUCCAGACUGCCUGGUUACGGUGAAACC
RNAcentral lists this long non-coding RNA (1140 nucleotides) under Papio anubis (olive baboon). RNAcentral's name for it is "lncRNA (ENSPANG00000041220.1)". Lineage: Eukaryota; Metazoa; Chordata; Mammalia; Primates; Cercopithecidae. The record is from RNAcentral.